CUUUGCCUGGGCAUGCCCACAGCAGACCGGGGGCCCACCUGCGUACCGGGAGAGUGGGGUGGAGCCACCGGGAAUUCACGCCUGAUGCCCGGGGAGGAGUCUGGCCUCUUCAGCUCCUGUGUGGUGGCCUGAUAUUCAGUCUGUGAGCUGGGAGCCUGUUGGCAGGUCCCUCUUUUUAUUUUCGCUGAGAGCUUUCUUUUACUAAAUGCCACCAUCCUUACCUUUCAAGGUGUCUGCGUGCCUAAUUUUUCCUGGUUGUUAGACAAGAACCCGGAUUUUAGUUGAACUCUGGAGCAAAAAUCCUGCAUCAUUUGUAGGUGGGUGUCAUUGUGACUGGCUGCUACCUCCCCAUGAGUCUUCUAAAAUAAAACCUGCAAAUUCACAUCUUCCCCAUGCUUCCAGAGAAUGCAUAUUCUUCCUUUGAAAAAAGAAAACCAGAAGCUCCAUACUAAAAUAAUGGUCCUAAUAUUAAGCAAAGUAAAAUGUGGUAUGAUUUUGAGUGGUCAGCAGAGUGUAAGAAUAAUCUAUUUGCACUUGAUACUUUCAGCUGUCACAGAGGUCAUAGAAUUGGGCUUAUUGAGAAGGAAAGGUAAAUGCUAGUACACUACUUGGCUCAGAAGUGAACAAAAUUGCAGUUUGCUCAAACAACUCCAUAGGAAAAAGUCUAAUAAUCUGAUGUAAAAAUGGGCAGAAGAUUUGAAUAGAUAUUUCUCAAAAGAAGACAUACGAAUGGCAAACAGACAUAUGAAAAUGUACUCAAAAUCAUUGAUCAUCAGAGAAAUGUAAAUCAAAACUGCAAUGAGAUAUCAUCCGACUCCAGUUAAAAUGGCUUUUAUCCAAAAGUCAGGCAAUAAAAAAUGCUGGUAAGGAUGUAGAGAAAAGGGAACCCUUGUACACUGUUAGUGGGAAUGUAAAUUAAUACAAUCACUAUGGAGAACAGUUUGGAGGAUCCUCAAAAAACUAAAAAUAGAGCUACCAUAUGAUUCAGCAAUCUCACUGCUAGGUAUAUACCCAAAAGUAUAUUGAAGAGACAUCUGCACUCCCAUGUUUGUUGCAGCACUGUUCAUAAUAGCCAAGAUUUGGAAGCCACCUAAGUGUCCAUCAACAGAUGAAUGGAGAAACUGUGGUACAUAUACACAACGGAGUGCUAUUCAGCCAUAAAAAAGAAUGAUACUCUGUCAUCUGCAACAACAUGAAUGGAACUGGAGAUCAUUAUGUUGUUAAAUAAGCCAGACACAGAAAGACAAACAUCACAUAUUUUCACUUAUUUUGGGGAUAUAAAAGUCAAAACAAACUCAUGGAGAUAGAGAACAGAUAGACGGUUACCAGAGGCUAGGAGGAGGAGUGGUGGGGGGCAGUUAGUGAUGGUUAAUUGGUACAAAAAAAUGGUUAGAAAUAAUAAAUAAGACCUAGUAUUAGAUAGGACAACAGGAGGACUAUAGUCAAAAAUAAUUUAUUUGUACAUUUCAAAGUAACUAAAAGAGUGUAAUUGUAUUAUUUGUAGCACAUAGGAUAAAUGCUUGAGGUGACGGAUACCCCAUUUACCCUGAUGUGAUUAUUACACAUCGUAUGCCUGUACCAAAAGAUCUCAUGUACCUCAUAAAUACAUACACCUACUAUAUACCCACACAAAUUAAAAAUUAAAAAAAUUUAAAGAAAUUACAGUUUGUUGGUUUUGAAUAUUUGACCAAAUUUUUUACUAAGCACAGAUAGAUUGAAUAUAAUUUUAUUGUCCUUUUGACAUUAUGAUAAUGAAGGUAUCUACACAGAAGUCUGAGAUGAGAAAAAAAUGAUAUAAUAUCCACCUACUACAUAGUGGGUAGUUUAUAUACUAAAGUUAUUGUUAUGAGAAAGAAUGGCUUAGGAAUAUUAUUUAAAAUUAAUUAAGGGGUGUUAAAAAUAAAAUACCAAGUGUAAAAAUGACAAAGGCAAGAAGAAACAGUAUAUAAUGUGAGUAAAUCUUAAUCUUUCCAAGAGAGGAGACAGUACAUAAUGUCUAAAAUUGUUAAACCAUGAAAUAGAAAUAUAGUUAUUUUAUUCAUAAUUAAGGAGAUAACUACUAUAGCACGAAAUCGUGCCAAAAAUGGUUGCCUCUGGGAAAUGUGAUUAUAGAUAUUAUAAUAUUUUGGACUGUAAAAAUCUGCUUUUAAGACUGAGGAAAUACAAAUAGGACAAUAUUUAUUUGAAAUUUGUAUCCUCAGGGAGUGUAAAGAAAUUAAUGUAUCCACAAAAUAAUAAUAGCUGCUAUUUGAAAACAUAGUUUUCUUGAAAGUUAAAAUAGUAAUAGUCUUCUAAAAAUUUUGUUAGUUUUGGUUUUCUCUUUAAUCUGAGUUAUGUAGAAAAGUGCUUAUUUCAAAUUAGGUAGGCUUGUUUUAUUCCUUUUUCUGUCUUUUUUCUAUCAACUAGUGUUUUAUUGUGUUCAGAAAAUGCCAUGCAUUAAAAGACUACUUUUGAGAAUUUCUAGAGAUUUUCUUUGUUACUAAAGAGAUUUUUGUAAUUGUUACAUGGGAUUUUAAAAAGAAUGUAAAUUAUCCUUUUUGUCAAGUAUAAUGAUUUCUGAAACCUAGCUGUGUCAGAAUACUGUAUAAUACUGUAAUAGUAUGUUGUUUUUGGCUAUGUGUACUUAUUUCUUAGAGUGGUAUGUUAAAGCCUCGACCUUGUGACUUUGUUUAUUUCUCUCUCUACAUCUAAACAUUUCCAAGACAUGUUAUUUGCAAUACCAAGACCAUAACUAUUAUGUAUUUAAUCAAAAUAAAAUAUUUCGGCUCUCUAUAAUUCACCUUGAACUUUAUUUUGUUAAAUAUAAAUGUUGUUGAUUAUACAACAUUUCAUUAUCAAUCCCUAGACACAUUUCUAAUCCACUAUAAUUGUUUUAAAAUAAAAGGAGAAGGGAAGGUUGUA
This 2901-nucleotide long non-coding RNA is filed under the name Homo sapiens (human). RNAcentral describes it as "HSALNT0074955". The record is from RNAcentral. Lineage: Eukaryota; Metazoa; Chordata; Mammalia; Primates; Hominidae.